RNAcentral lists this ribosomal RNA (253 nucleotides) under uncultured bacterium. RNAcentral's name for it is "partial 16S ribosomal RNA". It matches the Rfam family "Bacterial small subunit ribosomal RNA", at positions 524 to 776 of the family's 1533-position model. The record is from RNAcentral.
UACGUAGGGGGCAAGCGUUGUCCGGAUUUAUUGGGCGUAAAGAGCGUGUAGGCGGCCAGGUAGGUCUGCUGUGAAAACUCGAGGCUUAACCUCGAGAUGUCGGUGGAAACCAUCUGGCUAGAGUCCGGAAGAGGAGAGUGGAAUUCCCGGUGUAGCGGUGAAAUGCGCAGAUAUCGGGAAGAACACCCGUGGCGAAGGCGGCUCUCUGGGACGGUACUGACGCUGAGACGCGAAAGCGUGGGGAGCGAACAGG